CCCCCUGUGCUAAGCGCUGUACAGGGCACAUCCUUGCAGCACGGGGGAGCAUCACUUCUCCCUGACUGGCAUGGAAAAGCCCAAAGAUUCAGCCCAAAAGUGUGGAGCCUGGCAGGGGCAUCCUGCUCUGGGGACCAUGGAGACAGGAACUCUGUAAGGAAGGACUCCUCGGGAAGGUCAGAGUCGGCCCUGCAGCUGUGAGGACUUCGGAGAGCCGAAUGCCAUCGACACAAACCGCAUCAUGCAAGUCCACUGCCUGAAGCAUUAAAGACUGACGAGUUAUUUCUCCCCACUUAAAUACUCCUGCAUGUGGGGGGGCGCAGGGGGGCACAAACUUGGUGAAAUAAAACCCUCAAAGAG
Neopelma chrysocephalum (saffron-crested tyrant-manakin) is the source of this 360-nucleotide long non-coding RNA. RefSeq lists it as uncharacterized. The transcript has 3 exons. The record is from RefSeq and is a predicted model, not a curated record. Lineage: Eukaryota; Metazoa; Chordata; Aves; Passeriformes; Pipridae.